Bombyx mori (domestic silkworm) is the source of this 616-nucleotide long non-coding RNA. RefSeq lists it as uncharacterized. NCBI's taxonomy places the organism in Eukaryota, Metazoa, Arthropoda, Insecta, Lepidoptera, Bombycidae. The record is from RefSeq and is a predicted model, not a curated record. The transcript is spliced from 2 exons.
CAUUACAUAGGUUUCACAGAAAAGAAUUCACGAACAGCUUAAUAAACACCUUAACGUCGCAAGUCCUGCUACGCAUGAGAAAUUUAAAACAAACAGAGAAAGUGGUACAGAAAAGUUGUACCAUUCAGCCUUGGAAUGAUGGUAUGUCCUUCUUCAAAUGAGGUUUGAGGAGUCCUCAGAAGGCAACGGUGAUUUUUAUAUGCGAUAACCACUACAGGAUGUGAAGCACUGCUGGUACUGCACAUAACAAACAGCAAAACGACCAUAAAUAUUAAAUUACUAGCCGUAACCGUCCGCUUCGCUGGGCAUUUAAAAUUAAGAUUAUUAUUUAUUGUCAUUAUUAUUGAGUCCAACGCUCAUAUAAAUAUUAGCCUAUCCAUUAAGUACAUGUAUUUUCUACAUGGAUACCAAGUUUCAAGUCAAUCGGAUGCAUGGUUCAAUAGUUAUAACGGAACAUCCGUAAAAACCACUGUAGAUUCAUAUAUUAGUAUACAUGUGCAAGUUUCAGCCUAUGAAUUGGCAUAUCCGAGUCUGAAAAUAGCAGCGGUGACGUCAGAUUUUAUCGACUUUUAAAGUAUUAAGCGUACAUAGUAAAAUUAAAACCUUAAAUUUAAAA